CUCUGGGCUCUCUUCAAAGUUUUAGAAGGAGUCUUUUCCAUAGCAUCUCUCCAUGUUGCAGUCAGGAAAUCUGUUAUUAUCUUCGUUUUUUGCUUAGACAGAGGUCUAAAAUGGAAGGCGCUAUUGGAAUCCGAAGCUUCACAGCUCUUCAUCUCUACUGCUACUUGUCAAUGUCAGCUUUUCUGCUCAGAUGAGAAGAUGUCCUGGGACUCAGACACCCAGGAACCACACAGCUCUGAGGCGGGACAGUGUCCCAAGGAAAGGCAUCCUGAAAUAUGGAGCCCAGGAACCACAGAGGUCUGAGAGGAAGCCUCCUCAGCAGAGGCACCG
RNAcentral lists this long non-coding RNA (330 nucleotides) under Rattus norvegicus (Norway rat). Its description in RNAcentral is "long non-coding RNA NONRATT032097". Lineage: Eukaryota; Metazoa; Chordata; Mammalia; Rodentia; Muridae. The record is from RNAcentral.